GUGCGGGAUUGGGUGCCGAAGUGGAUUGCCGUGGGGAGUGCAUACUACCACGGGGCCAUUAGGCGCGGCGCAAGCCGGGCUACCUUGGGUAGAUCCUGAUGAAUGAAAGGAAAACUCUAUUGAGAGCCAUCUACAGGAGAGGCUAGGGAUCGUGGCAAGGGAGUUGCGUCUAGCUAGACAUUGCUAGGGGCAUGCUAGUUGAUCACUUUGCUACUCAGGCUACUGCCGAGGGUGAUGUCCCUAUGUAUAGAGAGACCACCAUUGUACCUAUCUUUUGUAUACUCCGUGAUGUACAUAUUUACUCCUUGGACAGAUAUUAUGGUUGUGAUACUUCACGUUUUGUUGAGUUUGUGGAUUAUAUCCUCCUUGUUCUAUUGUUAAUAGUCUUUGUGACUUUUACUA
Molecule: long non-coding RNA, 402 nt
Organism: Ananas comosus (pineapple)
Lineage: Eukaryota; Viridiplantae; Streptophyta; Magnoliopsida; Poales; Bromeliaceae
Exons: 2
Source: RefSeq, a predicted model, not a curated record